CUUUAGUUCAUUUAUUUUAGUUUAGUUAAAUUUUGUAUGACACACUAAAAGCAUGACAGUAACACUUAAACAUGCUUGCAUUGUUUGUGCAUACAAGUGUUAAAACUUGAGCAAUAUGAGAAUCGAUCAAUCAUCAAAAUUUGAGUCGUUUGAUCAUUGAUGUGACUUGUUGAGGUUUAGAUUACCAUAUAUGUGGAGAAAUAUGGUUAGGAUCAACUAGGAUUGAAUUGUGGAAGAAACUAGUGAAAACGUGAAAAAUCAUGAUUUUGGGCCGUAGGCAAAACUACAAGAUCAUUUCAAAAAAAGGUCAGACCAUUUCUCCAAAUCAGUCUAACCGAUUAUCAAAACGAUCAGACUGUUUUGUGCAGUAUAAAAACUGCAUCAGCCCUUCUCUCUUCAAAAACCCGACUUCUUUCAAUUUCUUUAGUAUUUCUCUCUUUCUACAAACCCUAAACCCCCAAAAACCUUCCCUAAAGUUUUUAUACUUCAAUUAAACACUAAAUCCUAACUCAAAACUCCUUAGAAUCAUCUAUAUUAGGAUUAUUUGUGUUCAAACACCUAUAAAAUCAAAAGUCCAACUUUGUAUUCUCUCGAAUUCCUAUUGAAGAACAAUGCCUAGAGUGAAGAUCUCAUCAAGGAGGAGUGUUCAAAGAUUCGAUGACUAUCUCUUUGUUUUCGAAGAUGCAAAAAAGAGAUACAACGAAGAUUUCAAAACUAGACAAAUUGCUCCACCAAGAUAUGUGGAUUAAGGUGAUUUUAGAAGGAUGAAUGUGUUAAAUUACUUUGAGAAUAUUGGUUGGAAUAGUUAAUAUAAAUGUCAUAUCGAUGUUUUAUGCAAAUUCGAGUGUUGAAGAGAAAGAUGAUGAUAUUUAUAUUAGUAGUUAUGCCCAUGGAGUUAAAAUAUAUUUAAACUCAAAUGUCCUAGUUCAGAUUUUGGAGAUUAUUAGGGGAGAUUUUACUAGAACUUUUGCCUCUCACCAAUUUAAUGAAGCACCAAACACACCAACAUCUCUUUGAGCAAAUGAGAUUAGUUUUUGGGAGAAUUUUAGAUGAUGAAGAAAGAGCUAUUGCAAUGUCUUUAUCUUGUAAUAUGUAUAUUUUGCAUUCAAUAGUUAGUUGAAUUUUGUUGCCUAAAGGAGGGCACAAAAAAGAAUUAAAAUUUAUAGAUCUGUGGAUUAUGACUUGUAUUGUGGAUGGAAAACCAUUUGAUUUAGCUUACAUGAUUUUGAAGCAUAUGAGCAAUGUUAUCAAAUGAAUGUAAAUAAGGACUUAAGUAUGUGGAGCUAUUAUAACUAAGAUUUUCAUUGCUUUUGAUUGAAUAUUAUAGAAUAUAAGGAUGAACAUAAUAUUGGAAGAGAUCAUAUUUAUAAUGCCGCAAAGUUAAGAGAAUGAGGGAUGUUUUAUGUUGAUGAUGUGUGGAUUUAUGAUCCUUUAAAGGAACUUAGUGCAAGAAAAUUAAAACUAGGUCCAAGACAAAAGAUCCUUAAAAAUAGGCCAACCACCUAUGCCUUCACCUCAACCUCAAUCAACAUUUGAAGAAGGUUUUUCGAGUGCUCCACUUUCCCUAAAAUUAAUUCCAUGACCACAUUUUCUAGCAUCAACACCUGUUUUCUUUCAUCUUUUUUUCUUUUUCUAGUCUCAUUGUACCACUUUUCUACUAAGGCUACAUUUGGUAUUGCGGUGAACUACAUGUUGCACCGAAACAAAAGGCAUGAAUGGUCUAUUAUUCCUAAUCAAUCCCUUUUCUUCCAUAUUAUUCCAUAUCCAUAACAAAGAAUGGCCUGCCCCAUUGAAUCCCACAUAAUUACUAUAAGAAAUGCACCACCAAGCUAGCUCUAAAAUCAUCUCACAUAGCAAGACUCUCCUUUCUUUCAUAAACAUGCAACAAUUCAUUCAAGCAUGGAUGGAAAUCAUCGUAAUCCUCUUGUGAUCAAGGAUCAAGUCCCUCCUUGAAGCUAGCAAAAUUGUAAGAUUGCCUGGACAACCACCAAUUAGUUUCCAACAAUUCUCUAGCUAUAUCAUAGUGAUUGGUGGAGCACUUGUAUGCACAAACAACGCAAGCAUAUAGUUCAGGUUUAAAUGUUACUAUCAUGCUUUUAGUGUGUCAUACAAAAACUAACUAAUCUAAAAUAAAUGAACUAAAGUUUAGAUCACUAACCUCUAGUAGUAGUUUUCUACUAGGUUGAAUGCAAUCACCAUUGGUUGUUGAAAGGCUUGUCCAUUCUCCUAAAAACCUUGUGGAAUCAUCUUGGUGAUGAUAGCCGUAUUGUGGUUGGAAUCUUGGCAUUGGCUUCAUGUACCUUUGAUCUUUGUGUACCGGACACACAUUUCUCCAUAGCCUUAUAUAUUGUUGAGAUUGAUACACAUUUUUUUUGGUCCUUGGUUGAUAUUCUGGACCAAAGGAUUUGGCCUUCCUAAAGGCCUUUUGUUUAUAGGUCUUGGUUGUCCUCCUAUGUGCCUUUAAUGUCGGUUACCUCCCAUUUGAUAUCUUUAGGGUUGAGGCCUUAAACGUCAUUGUUGCACAUUUCUUCUACCAUAAUUCUUCCACUGCGGGUUUCUUUUAACUUGGCUUUUAUGGAAGUAAGGCGUUUCUUGCCUUUGCCAUUGGUUUUUCCUUUGCAAGUUGCCUCUCAAUUGUAGAUUAUGGAAUUGAGGCUUUGUUGAUCAUGACUAGUGUUCCUUCUUUGUCGGAACCCUUUCCUUGCUCCUCCAUUCCUAGAAUUCCUGCGAUAAGCAUUUUUAGGUAUCCUUUUUAACAUUAAGUUCUUGUUUGUUAGGCAUUGUACCUUUCAGUACCCACAUCAUAUUUUUAGGAAUGAUAUUUUUUUUAAUCUAUAUUUAUGCGAUAAAUAACCUUUCUUAUUGCAAAAAUUACAUAUAGAAAAAUUACUAUACAUGAUAGAUUGAUUAACAUGCUCAUUGGAUUUUUGUUUUUGUACACAAUUAAAACCUAAACCACUUUUAUUUAGGCUCUUAUUUUGUCCUCCUAACAAAACAUCCAAGUUAUCUCUAUCUUGAGUAAACUUGGCUAAAGUUGAAGUGAAGUCUUCAACUUGUUUUCUAAGAGCACCAUUUUGAUUUUUCAAAUCCUUUAAUGAUGAGGAACAACUAUCAAUACCACAUAAUGAUUCAUUUACUUGUGUUAAUCUAUCACAUUUUUCAAGCAAAUUAUUAUUUUCAGUUUUCAAAUUUUCAUGCAUCUUUUCCAAGUUUUUUAUUAAUCUUUCUAUACAUCUUGUUCUUUUUAUGCAAGGCUUCACAUAAGGUAAUUAAGUCAUCAAAACUCACAUCAACAUCUUCAUCUUGUUCAAUGAAGUUUGAGCUAGGUGAGUCUAUAUUAUCUUCAUAUACUAUUGUUCUAGAAAAUCUAAUUCAUUAAAGUCAAUGAUCUUUAACUCUAAGACGGUUAAGUCUUAUAGUAAGAGCACAAGCUCUGAUACCAAUUGUUGGACCCUAUUACAAAAUCUUGAUUGUCGAAGUCGAUAACCGUUAUAUUUAGAAGUUCUUCGUUCUUGACCUUUGCGAAUCAUUUCCUUUGCUUGUUUGAUGAUUUCUUGAAUGUUGUAAACUUCUCUAAAUCAUCGCAAGGGUGUGUGCAACAUAUAAUACACAUAUUGUUUGUACCCUAUGCUGAAAGGGGGGCACUACUGGUUCUUUAUUAGUUCAGACCAUUCUUGCAGGUUAGGAUUGUUUUUUCUCAUUUCCUAGGGGGGUCAUGCUGCAGGUGUCUUUAGGGCACUUCUCUCACAUAUACUCAAAACGAAUCGGAAUGUCCUUGAUUUUGUGUUUUUUAUCGUUGCUUAGCUGGAUUGGAUGAUGCCUUUUGCACCAAUAAUCUUUUGUACACUUCUUUCUAUAAAAUCUUCUCUUUUCAUAUAAA
Molecule: long non-coding RNA, 3880 nt
Organism: Populus trichocarpa (black cottonwood)
Lineage: Eukaryota; Viridiplantae; Streptophyta; Magnoliopsida; Malpighiales; Salicaceae
Exons: 2
Source: RefSeq, a predicted model, not a curated record